RNAcentral lists this ribosomal RNA (275 nucleotides) under uncultured bacterium. RNAcentral's name for it is "partial 16S ribosomal RNA". It matches the Rfam family "Bacterial small subunit ribosomal RNA", at positions 338 to 610 of the family's 1533-position model. The record is from RNAcentral.
CCUACGGGGGGCUGCAGUAGGGAAUAUUGGACAAUGGGCGCAAGCCUGAUCCAGCCAUGCCGCGUGCAGGAUGAAGGCCCUAUGGGUCGUAAACUGCUUUUGUACGGGAAGAAAACAUAUUACGUGUAAUAUGCUGACGGUACCGUGAGAAUAAGGAUCGGCUAACUUCGUGCCAGCAGCCGCGGUAAUACGAAGGAUCCAAGCGUUGUCCGGAUUUACUGGGUUUAAAGGGUGCGUAGGCGGACUUUUAAGUCAGUGGUGAAAGCCUGUAGCUU